CUAAUCGCGAGGUUAGGGCUGGAGGAAGCGUGGGAAUAAAAUCUUGGCUCGACGAACAGAAAUCUGAUACUAAGGCUCUACAAAGGGAUGAGACUCCACAACAAGUCAAAGUCCAAAAGAUGUGCGUAACUUUGUAGAGUAAAUCAGACGAGUAAAAGAGGAAAGAUAGUUGU
This 173-nucleotide non-coding RNA is filed under the name Cytobacillus oceanisediminis. Lineage: Bacteria; Bacillati; Bacillota; Bacilli; Caryophanales; Bacillaceae. The record is from RNAcentral.